AUAAAAAUAUUUUUAUUGAUUUAAAAAAAAAAGUUUGUUAUUAACAAUAAAAAUGAUAAUAUAUUUGAAUAAUUGAAUUAAAUAGAUAAUCAAGUAAAUUAUAUUUUGAUUAUAAAUAUGAAAAAGAGUAUAUUUAUAAAUAAAAUUUAUUGGUCAAUUGUUAACUUUAAGAUUUGAUUUAUUGUGAAUUUUAAAUAUUUUAAAAUAUUUUUAAGU
RNAcentral lists this transfer RNA (216 nucleotides) under Pneumocystis jirovecii. RNAcentral describes it as "tRNA-Pseudo(GTT)". The record is from RNAcentral. Lineage: Eukaryota; Fungi; Ascomycota; Pneumocystomycetes; Pneumocystales; Pneumocystaceae.